RNAcentral lists this ribosomal RNA (1177 nucleotides) under Enterococcus lactis. Its description in RNAcentral is "bacterial SSU rRNA". It matches the Rfam family "Bacterial small subunit ribosomal RNA", at positions 41 to 1178 of the family's 1533-position model. The record is from RNAcentral. Lineage: Bacteria; Bacillati; Bacillota; Bacilli; Lactobacillales; Enterococcaceae.
GGCAUGCGGCUGCUAUACAUGCAGUCGUACGCUUCUUUUUCCACCGGAGCUUGCUCCACCGGAAAAAGAGGAGUGGCGAACGGGUGAGUAACACGUGGGUAACCUGCCCAUCAGAAGGGGAUAACACUUGGAAACAGGUGCUAAUACCGUAUAACAAUCGAAACCGCAUGGUUUUGAUUUGAAAGGCGCUUUCGGGUGUCGCUGAUGGAUGGACCCGCGGUGCAUUAGCUAGUUGGUGAGGUAACGGCUCACCAAGGCCACGAUGCAUAGCCAACCUGAGAGGGUGAUCGGCCACAUUGGGACUGAGACACGGCCCAAACUCCUACGGGAGGCAGCAGUAGGGAAUCUUCGGCAAUGGACGAAAGUCUGACCGAGCAACGCCGCGUGAGUGAAGAAGGUUUUCGGAUCGUAAAACUCUGUUGUUAGAGAAGAACAAGGAUGAGAGUAACUGUUCAUCCCUUGACGGUAUCUAACCAGAAAGCCACGGCUAACUACGUGCCAGCAGCCGCGGUAAUACGUAGGUGGCAAGCGUUGUCCGGAUUUAUUGGGCGUAAAGCGAGCGCAGGCGGUUUCUUAAGUCUGAUGUGAAAGCCCCCGGCUCAACCGGGGAGGGUCAUUGGAAACUGGGAGACUUGAGUGCAGAAGAGGAGAGUGGAAUUCCAUGUGUAGCGGUGAAAUGCGUAGAUAUAUGGAGGAACACCAGUGGCGAAGGCGGCUCUCUGGUCUGUAACUGACGCUGAGGCUCGAAAGCGUGGGGAGCAAACAGGAUUAGAUACCCUGGUAGUCCACGCCGUAAACGAUGAGUGCUAAGUGGUUGGAAGGGUUUCCGCCCCUUCAGUGCUGCAGCUAACGCAUUAAGCACUCCGCCUGGGGGAGUACGACCGCAAGGUUGAAACUCAAAGGAAUUGACGGGGGCCCGCACAAGCGGUGGAAGCAUGUGGUUUAAUUCGAAGCAACGCGAAGAACCUUACCAGGUCUUGACAUCCUUUGACCACUCUUGAGAUAGAGCUUCCCCUUCGGGGGCAAAAUGACAAGUGGUUGCAGGGUUGUCCUCACCUCCUGUCCUGAGAAAUUUGGGUUAAUUCCCCCCACCAACGCCACCCCUUAUUGUUAUUUGCCUCCAAUUCAUUUGGGGACCCUCCCAAAAAAGCCCGUGACAAACCGAAGAAAGGGGGGG